This 236-nucleotide long non-coding RNA is filed under the name Mytilus galloprovincialis (Mediterranean mussel). The record is from RNAcentral. Lineage: Eukaryota; Metazoa; Mollusca; Bivalvia; Mytilida; Mytilidae.
GUAUGUAUAAGAUGCCAUAUUUGAGUUGCCAAAUCUUUUAAACCUAUGAUUUAAAUCUUUUAAAAAAAUUUACAAGAUGUUUAGGUUGGCCUAGUUAAUCAAUGAAAAAAAAAUAAGAAAAAUUAAAUGACAGGAUUUUUUGGGGGUAUAGUGUUGGGUACCCCCUUAAAUGGAUACAUCUCGUACUUACAAAGAAAAAACCAAACAAUAAAGCCAUAGGAACUUUUCAAGUUGGG